AACGCUAGCGGCAGGCUUAAUACAUGCAAGUCGAACGGUAACAUGGUAGCAAUACUGAUGACGAGUGGCGCACGGGUGAGUAACGCGUAUGCAACCUACCUAUAAUUUGAGGAUAGCCCGAAGAAAUUCGGAUUAAUACUUAAUGUGAAUAUUUAGAGGCAUCUUUAGAUAUUUAAAGGAUUUAUUUGAUUAUAGAUGGGCAUGCGUGACAUUAGAUAGUUGGUGAGGUAACGGCUCACCAAGUCUACGAUGUCUAGGGGUUCUGAGAGGAAUGUCCCCCACACUGGUACUGAGAUACGGACCAGACUCCUACGGGAGGCAGCAGUAAGGAAUAUUGGUCAAUGGGCGCAAGCCUGAACCAGCCAUGCCGCGUGCAGGAUGACUGCCCUACGGGUUGUAAACUGCUUUUAUAGUAGAAGAAACACAUCUACGUGUAGAUGUCUGCCAGUAUACUAUGAAUAAGCAUCGGCUAACUCCGUG
This 480-nucleotide ribosomal RNA is filed under the name uncultured bacterium. Its description in RNAcentral is "bacterial SSU rRNA". It matches the Rfam family "Bacterial small subunit ribosomal RNA", at positions 32 to 507 of the family's 1533-position model. The record is from RNAcentral.